RNAcentral lists this ribosomal RNA (302 nucleotides) under uncultured bacterium. RNAcentral's name for it is "bacterial SSU rRNA". It matches the Rfam family "Bacterial small subunit ribosomal RNA", at positions 155 to 489 of the family's 1533-position model. The record is from RNAcentral.
AACGGCUGCUAAUACCCCAUAUGCCGCGAGGUGAAAUGAAUUUCGCCUGAGGAUGAGCUCGCGUCUGAUUAGCUAGUUGGUGUAGGUAAUGGCUCACCAAGGCAUCGAUCAGUAGCUGGUCUGAGAGGAUGAUCAGCCACACUGGGACUGAGACACGGCCCAGACUCCUACGGGAGGCAGCAGUGGGGAAUUUUCCGCAAUGGGCGAAAGCCUGACGGAGCAACGCCGCGUGAGGGAUGAAGGCCUCUGGGCUGUAAACCUCUUUUAUCAAGGAAGAAGAUCUGACGGUACUUGAUGAAUAA